This is a long non-coding RNA of Octopus sinensis (East Asian common octopus), 1501 nucleotides long. RefSeq lists it as uncharacterized. The transcript has 2 exons. Lineage: Eukaryota; Metazoa; Mollusca; Cephalopoda; Octopoda; Octopodidae. The record is from RefSeq and is a predicted model, not a curated record.
UCUCGAUUUAAUUGCCUCUUAUUACCUCCCCUUGAUUUUGAGGCGUGGACCCUUCCGCAUUACAACAAAUACAUACGUACACGCAUACACGCAUACAUAUAUGUUAUACUAAAGUUUCAACAACUAUACUAAGUUUCAGUUAUUAUCGCCUUAAUCGGAUGAACUGCCUUGCUCGAUAAAGAAAAAACCAAAUACUCGUGGAAAUAAGAAUAUCCUCUUAGCAAGCUGAUCAUUAUUAAAUUGGACACAUCUGACUCUACAAUAGAAAUUAUUCAUUUUUCUGCUAAUAUGAAUUGAAGAUAUUUUCUGUUGGCAUGUAGAAAAAAAGAUAUGUACAGUCCAUUAUUCUUACAGACAAUCCUUUUAAUUUGCUAUAAUUAAAAAAUUGGUCACUGAUUGAUUAAACUAACAUGCAUAGCAAUGGUGAAACUUAAGUGUAAUCUGCAUAACACCAUUCACUCUACAAGUCACACAUUUCAGUAGCUGUUUGACAUCCAUGACAAAAGAAAUUCUAUUGUAAUAAAUACUUCAAGAGCAACUGCACCAUCUGUUGCAGAAAAAUGAUCAUGUCAGUCAGUAAUCAAAGCACUAACAGUGAGGCCAUAUUGCACAGACCAUAUUGUGAUAACUGCAGCAUCAGUUUUGCAGAAAUAGUCACAACUUCCAAUAUUUUUUACAAAAGUAUUACAAUGAUAAUGAAAGCUGUAGCUCUUGUAGACAUACAGCUGGUCUUGGAACACCUCUUCAUAAUGCCUGUUAUAAUAAAUACUGCAAAAGAGAAAGAAGCUUUAGCCAUCACUUGCAAGCACAAGUUUCAACCUGGUGACAGUGAACUAUCAAAGAUGUGACAGCUGGAAGGAAAGAAGGCUGCACCAGCACUUCAUUGAUACUCAUUUCCAGCUGAGUGGACCUGAAAUUAAGUACCUUGUGGAAGGGCAUAACACAUCACCUGGUAUUGAACCCACAACUUGUGAGCCCAACAUCUUCACAUAAUAGUGUACUGAAGUGAAUAAAAGAUGAAGGCCUGAAGAAGUGUAGACAUGAUGACUUUGUAUGAUGGUAUAGCACAACCUUCUGAAAGAUGUACAAUGUUUGAGGGAAAAUUCAUUAUACUGAAAUAUAUUUUUGUUGAUUUAAUAUUAUUUAAAGCCUACCUUUUCAACUAAUUUUGAACUUUAGGAACACCUCUUUACCUCUCUUUAUUUACAAGGGGGUGCUUAAAAGUUCCUGGCUGUGGGUAAAAGAAAAUAGGGGAGGAUCAGUUAAUUAUGAUUUUAUUCAACAUAUUCCCCUCUCAGAUUCACACACUUAUUACAGUGGUCCUUCAGUUUUCCUAAGCCCUGCAAAAGAACUUGGAUGGUUGACCCUCCAACCAGGCCUUUCAUGAUACCCUUAAAACCAGGAAUUCUUCAGCACCCCUGUGUAGUAGAGACAGCUAUGAACAAUUUUAUAUUAAAGCACAUUGUACCAUGACCAGAAAUAAAAGUAAGAAAAGACAAUU